UCUAAUACUUCAUAAUAUCCAUCUCGUAUGGAUUAAAGCUUUAUGCGCUUUGGGAGGGGCCUGCGUAACAUUAGCUAGUUGGUGAGGUAAAAGCUCACCAAGGCUUCGAUGUUUAACUGGUUUGAGAGGAUGACCAGUCACACUGGGACUGAGAUACGGCCCAGACUCCUACGGGAGGCAGCAGUAAGGAAUCUUCCACAAUGGGGGCAACCCUGAUGGAGCAAUACCGCGUGCAGGAUGAAGCGUUUCGGCGUGUAAACUGCUUUUAUCACCGAAGAUUAUGACUGUAGGUGAAGAAUAAGGACCGGCUAACUACGUG
RNAcentral lists this ribosomal RNA (319 nucleotides) under uncultured bacterium. RNAcentral describes it as "bacterial SSU rRNA". It matches the Rfam family "Bacterial small subunit ribosomal RNA", at positions 162 to 507 of the family's 1533-position model. The record is from RNAcentral.